UUGGAGGGCAAGUCUGGUGCCAGCAGCCGCGGUAAUUCCAGCUCCAAUAGCGUAUAUUAAAGUUGUUGCAGUUAAAAAGCUCGUAGUUGAAUUUCGGGAUUGACACAUCGGUCGUGCCUUAAGGGGUAUGAACUGGUGUAGUCAAUUUCUCACCUUCUGGAGAACCACGAUGCCCUUAAUUGGGUGUCGCGGGGAACCAGGACCUUUACUUUGAAAAAAUUAGAGUGUUUAAAGCAGGCUCACGCUUGAAUACAUUAGCAUGGAAUAAUGAAAUAGGACGUUUGAUUCUAUUUUGUUGGUUUCUAGGAUCGACGUAAUGAUUAAUAGGGAUAGUUGGGGGCAUUAGUAUUCAAUUGUCAGAGGUGAAAUUCUUGGAUUUAUUGAAGACUAACUACUGCGAAAGCAUUUGCCAAGGAUGUUUUCAUUAAUCAAGAACGAAAGUUAGGGGAUCGAAGACGAUCAGAUACCGUCGUAGUCUUAACCAUAAACUAUGCCGACUAGGGAUCGGAUGAUGUUAAUUUUAUAAUGACUCAUUCGGCGCCUUACGGGAAAC
RNAcentral lists this ribosomal RNA (553 nucleotides) under uncultured Entrophospora. RNAcentral's name for it is "SSU rRNA". It matches the Rfam family "Eukaryotic small subunit ribosomal RNA", at positions 548 to 1098 of the family's 1831-position model. The record is from RNAcentral. Lineage: Eukaryota; Fungi; Glomeromycota; Glomeromycetes; Entrophosporales; Entrophosporaceae.